GUGAGGGUGACCGAGCGUGGGGAGGAGCGUGGAGCAAAACCGUGAGCCGAUGUACAAGAACCGGAUAGAAGGCAGUG
Molecule: non-coding RNA, 77 nt
Organism: Candidatus Burkholderia crenata
Lineage: Bacteria; Pseudomonadati; Pseudomonadota; Betaproteobacteria; Burkholderiales; Burkholderiaceae
Source: Rfam